UUAUNANAAUAANCCGGNNGAAAAAGAACCCCAACAGGGAUUGCCCUAGUAACGGCGAGUGAAGCGCCANCAGCUCAAAUUUGAAAGCUGCCCUUCGGGUCCGCAUUGUAAUUUGUAGAGGAUGCUUUGGGUGAAAACGCCAGUCUAAGUUCCUUGAAACAGGACGUCAUAGAGGGUGAGAAUCCCGUAUGUGACUGGAAAUGUUAACCUAUGUAAAGCUCCUUCGNCGAGUCGAGUUGUUUGGGAAUGCAGCUCUAAAUGGGAGGUAAAUUUCUUCUAAAGCUAAAUAUUGGCGAGAGCCCGAUAGCGCACAAGUAGAGUGAUCGAAAGAUGAAAAGCACUUUGGAAAGAGAGUUAAAAAGCACGUGAAAUUGUUGAAAGGGAAGCGCUUGCAAUCAGACUUGUUUAAACUGUUCGGCCGGUCUUCUGACCGGUUUACUCAGUUUGGACAGGCCAGCAUCAGUUUCGGCGGCCGGAUAAAGGCUCUGGGAAUGUGGCCUUCACUUCGGUGAAGGUGUUAUAGCCCAGGGUGUAAUACGGCCAGCCGGGACUGAGGUSCGCGCUUCGAAUAUGCAUANCAAUAAGCGGAGGNAAAGNCAA
Molecule: ribosomal RNA, 600 nt
Filed under: Aureobasidium pullulans
Lineage: Eukaryota; Fungi; Ascomycota; Dothideomycetes; Dothideales; Saccotheciaceae
Description: LSU rRNA
Rfam family: Eukaryotic large subunit ribosomal RNA
Source: RNAcentral